This 361-nucleotide long non-coding RNA is filed under the name Mytilus galloprovincialis (Mediterranean mussel). Lineage: Eukaryota; Metazoa; Mollusca; Bivalvia; Mytilida; Mytilidae. The record is from RNAcentral.
AAUAAACUUGAAUAAAUAAAUGAAUAAAAAAAAUUCAUGAAUAAUUUAAUAAAUAAAUAAAACAAAUAUGACAAUGAAUACAAUAAAAGAAUAUAAAAAUAAUUAUUUUAGAAAACCAAAGAUAAACAAAAAAUAAAAAAAAUAUAUACGUAAAAAUAAAUAAUCAAUAAACACGGAGCCACCAAAAGUAGGAACAGGAGGAAAGCCAGACCAAGCAAACAGCAGUGAGCGGCAGCAACGUUGUACUGGUACACCAGCAGCCAAGUGAAGAGCGGUUAACCCCCCCCCCCCUUUUUUGGACGAUAAAUGCAUUUGAAUGGGAACAUGUAGUUGGACCACCCCCGUUGUCCUGGGUUAGGAC